CAUAUUGCCUCCAUUGACUAAAUUUUUGGAUACGCCUGGUAUACAGGUGUCUAUUGUAUAAUGCAUGAGACUCUAAAGCUUGCAUUGUUUGCAUUUUGAUCACCGAAUUGAAUGGAGAUGAUUAGGAAAAUUAACAAGGGAUUUAUAUAGAAAGAAAGUCUUUAUCAUAUUAAUUAUUUUUUUUCAUCUUUAUCAUAUUAAUUAUUUUUUUUCA
RNAcentral lists this unclassified non-coding RNA (214 nucleotides) under Hevea brasiliensis (rubber tree). Lineage: Eukaryota; Viridiplantae; Streptophyta; Magnoliopsida; Malpighiales; Euphorbiaceae. The record is from RNAcentral.